Molecule: ribosomal RNA, 291 nt
Filed under: uncultured Pseudomonadota bacterium
Lineage: Bacteria; Pseudomonadati; Pseudomonadota
Description: uncultured proteobacterium partial 16S ribosomal RNA
Rfam family: Bacterial small subunit ribosomal RNA
Source: RNAcentral
UGUGCUAAUACCGCAUAAUCUCUCAGGAGAAAAGCAGGGGAUCGCAAGACCUUGCGCUUUAGGAGCGGCCGAUGCCUGAUUAGCUUGUUGGUAAGGUAAAAGCUUACCAAGGCUUCGAUCAGUAGCUGGUCUGAGAGGACGACCAGCCACACUGGGACUGAGACACGGCCCAGACUCCUACGGGAGGCAGCAGUGGGGAAUUUUGGACAAUGGGGGAAACCCUGAUCCAGCCAUGCCGCGUGAGUGAAGAAGGCCUUCGGGUUGUAAAGCUCUUUCAGCCGGACGAACGGU